Molecule: RNA transcript, 3994 nt
Organism: Populus trichocarpa (black cottonwood)
Lineage: Eukaryota; Viridiplantae; Streptophyta; Magnoliopsida; Malpighiales; Salicaceae
Exons: 6
Source: RefSeq, a predicted model, not a curated record
UUUUCAUAUAAAAAAAUAACUCACAGGUCUCUUUAUUCUCACGCCGAGGCCGAGUUAAAGAAAACCCAACCGAGUUCAUCACAAAAUUCAAAUAAUCUCUCAGUAUCUCCUUCUUGCUAUUCCUCCAUUACAAAUACAAUCUAAGCGACAAUUCCACUUCUCUCAGCACUAACUAGGGUUCGCUAUUCCUCCUUUUUUCAUUCUCUCUACCCUACGCUCUUCCUCAUGGCUUAGGAAAGUCGUUGAAUUUCUCCAAUAUGUAUGGUCAAGGGAGUUUUAAUCCCCAGUCCGGUGGCCAAGGUUCUCAAACACCCAUUGCUCCUUCAUACUCUCACCGUCCGCCUCCUCUUCCUCACAAUUUCCAACUAGGCCCUCCUCCUCACACUGGUCAGCCAAGUUUGCCCCCGCCCCAACAUCUACUCGCACCUGGUGGGACGGCAAAUGCUGCCCAGUCUUGUUUACACUCUUCUACAACUGUUCGUGGAAUUGCUCCUUUCCAGCAUGUUUAUGCACCUGCGCAGCAUUCUUCCUAUUUAGCAUCGGGCCCUCCCCCUCCUCCUCCCUUUGGUUUGCAUCGUCUUGAAAUGUUACAGGCCCCGCUGCCUCCUAGAGGUUUACCUCCUCCUCCACCACCACCACCACCUUCUCAAGGUCAGAGGUUUUAUAAUUCGCUGCCACAACAGCUAGCUGGUGUGCAGGGUCUACAGCAUAUCCCCCCUCCACCUCCCCCACCUCUUCUUCCAACUUCCAGUUUCUCAUCAUCUGCUCCCUUUGGGAGUUUUGCUGAGUCUAAUGGUGCCAAUCCUCAAAUGCUUUCAAUGGCUUCCCUACCACCACCCCCACCCCCACCACCAACCUCUUCUGCACCGUUGAUUCCACCUUCUCCUCCUCAGUCUAACUCUCACAUGUUGCCAGUAUCUGCGCCUGUCCUAGCUGGUUCCUAUCCACUGCUUCACUCUGAUAUUGCUUCCAACUCCAGCAUACCUUCUGGUGAUAAAUUGGGCACUACUGGUUCUGUCAAUGAAGCUAUCCCUCUCAAUAAGGGUGGACAUAGUGUUCCUGUGCAUGAUGGCAACUUAUAUCUGGAAGGUGGAAGUGGCACUGAGGUAAAUUGUAAAUUGGAUGAAGCAAAGAAUUUUUCACAACCCAGUCAUUUGAUGGUUGCCGCUGGAUCCCACAUGUCUGCUGAUUCUGAUUCCGAUAUGGAGAUGGAAGAUGAUAUUACCCAGUCUGACAAUGACCAGGCAGCAAAUCAUCCUAUUGGAGAUUUAACUCACUGCAAUCAUUUGAUAGCUGGAGACUCUGAUAUAAGAGAGCAGUUGCGUGAACUGCAGAGUUCAGCACAAUCCGAUGCUGCCACAUUGGUUUUAUCAGUCCCUGGUUCCUCCAGGCUGGAUAAUGGUCAACAAGUUUCUGAAGUUCAUAGCCCAGUCAUUAAUUCAGCUGGAGCUGAUGAAAAAAGUUCAUCAAGGGCCAUGUCAGCUGCUGGAUGCGAGAAUUCUGAUAAGUAUUCUAGUGAAGUUUUAAAAGGCGGCAGCCCAUUCAGACUUCUGCAGGAUAAUGCUUCUGAGGAUAGCUCAGAAAAUAAUGAUGAGCCCUGUUUGAAAAAUACCAUUCCUCAAACUGCUUCAAAAUUAGUUACAGUUGGCUCUGAAGAUCUGCAGCAGCAACAGCCAUCCUAUUGUUUGAGUCACUUUGCUUCUGAUAAUGUGUAUGGUCUAUCUGGGAAGAUAGGUUCUUCAUCUGUGUUCCCACCAGAUAUUCUGGACUCAAAUCAGCUGUCUUGCCUGCCCAAUUUUGCAGUAUCAAAAAAUUCAACUCUCCCUAAUACUUAUCCAGCUAGUUUUGAGCUGCCGCUCAACUCCAAAUUCAGUUCUGAUGUUUUAAGACAAGAAAAGGUUGCAUCCUACACUAGUAUGUAUGAUCAAUCUUCAAGUUGGAACCAUAUUUCACUUGAUGGACAAGAUGCCAUUGUUCGAUCAAGACAGCCAAUCUCUUCUCCCAGUUCUGCUAGGGAUGUUGCACAAAUUAUUCCUAGGUCAGGUAGUGAUCAGUAUGAUCCAUUUUUGGACAGCAUUGAGCCAGCUUCAAACUCAUUUAAGAGACUUGACCACAUUCAGAAGUGGGAAUCCAAUAACACUGACAUUAUGCCGAGGCUUAGUGGCUCAGACAAAUCAUUGGAUGUCGAAGAAAACAAUAAGAAAGAGGUUAGAGGCAUUGCUCUUUCUACAUCCCUUGAUAAUGAGGAGUUUGGUGAGACUGCAGAUGCAGAAGUCGGUGAUGUUGAGGAUCAGAGCCAAAGUAAUCCUGUUGUAGUGAAUGUGAAUAUGGGUGAUAUGGAGAUCGAUCAGGUUAAGUCUCCAGGGAAGAGCAAAAAUAGCAAGGACUCCAGAUCAAUGAAGCUUUUCAAGGUUGCCCUUGCAGAUUUUGUGAAGGAGGUUUUAAAGCCAUCAUGGCAACAGGGUAACAUGAGCAAGGAAGCAUUUAAGACUAUUGUCAAGAAGACAGUUGAUAAGGUUGCAGGAGCGAUGAAGAGCCACCAAAUACCCAAGUCCAAGGUGAAAAUAGAUCAUUAUAUUGACUCAUCGCAAUGGAAAUUGACAAAACUUGUGAUGGGUUAUGUUGAUAAGUAUGCCAAAGGGUAAAAGUUGAUAUCAGGAUGGUUUCUGGUUGAAGGCAUUGAUUUUGCUUGCUUUGAGGGACUAUAGUGCCACUGGAGCUGCAAAACAACCUAGAAUUGGUCGUAGAGCUGUGAGAAUAGGUGGGAAAAAAAGAGAGCCGGUGUUAGUAGAUUCCUUCAUUUUGUGAAGUUUGCACCUGCCAGAAAAAGAAUAUAUUAAGGUCUAUGACCAGGUGAACUCAGUUACAGCGUAUUCCAACUUCAAGGAAAUUCUUAGGAGGCUCCAAAAUGUUCAUACUGCAAUAGAGAGGGCAUUGAGCAAUCCCUUUCAAGAGUUUAUCUUAACAAACAUGAUUCCCAGUGUUGGAGCAGAACCGUUCUCCAGAGCUUACAGUCAGUCUAGUUAGCAGUAACCUCUCGGGUGAGAUCUUAUGGCUUGUUCAUGUUUUCUGUUCUGUGAGUAGCAUCUUUCAGUAGAAUUGGAUUGGUAUAGUUACCAAUGAGAUUAAUGACUUCAUUGAGUUACAAGAUUGAGAUUUAUUAAUUUAUUUUGAAUGCAUGAGAUGUCAAUAUGUUGUCUCUCUUUAUUCCUUCCCUGGUGAUGCAUACAUGUGAAGAAUGAACUAUGCUGACAUAGUGUUGCUUAAAUCGUAGUUGAGAAAUUGGAACUAAAAAGAACAAAAAGAUUUAAAUACAUAUAAAAGAGGCCUUUCCUUUUUAUUUAAAUUUUAGAAGGAAAAAAAAGCCUUCCUUUUGUUUUCAUGACAUAACGCAGAUAUCUUGUCAAUUUUCCUUUGUGCCUAGUAGUCAAUCUGAUAUUGUGCUGGCUUCCUUCUUUUAGUUUCUAAUUCAUGACAUAGCUAGGAUGUCUUGUCAAUUAAUACUUCUUGCUCUGCCUGUGUUAUCGAAUUGUAUUUUCGGAUGAGGAAUAAUCAUGAGAAUUGUGAAUGGUUGAUUGGGCUGCAAGAUGAAAUCGAGUUACUUUCAGUAAGGUAUUGUAUUUGUGCUUUGACAAUGAACUGAAAUUUUUUUACCUAAUCGGGUUUGUUCAAUGAAGCUCAAGCUAUGAAUUUGUAGAAUGUUUUUCAACUGUGGUGGAGCUCAUCAUGCGAACCACUUGUUAUUACUCCUUACACAAAGGGAAAAGGAAACCCUUUGGAGUGAUGUGGGGAUUGGGGGGAGAUUUACAUUUGGCCGUUCUCUGUAAAAAUAUUUCAGUUGAAGGACCUGUUGGGCAUGCAUUUGAAUCGUCAGGCCUUUCGUUUCUUUUCUUUUCUUUUUAUCGAAUUGUAUUAUUAAGCUGUUACUAGAUGGUUUCUGUCAGAUUUCUUCCUUAUUAUAUUAUUUGCUCUAGAAUAAGAAGUGUUGCUAGAA